RNAcentral lists this ribosomal RNA (439 nucleotides) under uncultured bacterium. RNAcentral describes it as "partial 16S ribosomal RNA". It matches the Rfam family "Bacterial small subunit ribosomal RNA", at positions 339 to 795 of the family's 1533-position model. The record is from RNAcentral.
CUACGGGAGGCAGCAGUGAGGAAUAUUGCACAAUGGGGGGAACCCUGAUGCAGCAACGCCGCGUGGAGGAUGACGCAUUUCGGUGUGUAAACUCCUCUUAUAUGUCAAGAAAAUGACGGUAGCAUAUGAAUAAGCACCGGCUAACUCCGUGCCAGCAGCCGCGGUAAUACGGAGGGUGCAAGCGUUACUCGGAAUCACUGGGCGUAAAGGACGCGUAGGCGGGUUGGAAAGUCAGGUGUGAAAUCCUACAGCUUAACUGUAGAACUGCACUUGAAACUUCUAAUCUAGAGUAUGGGAGGGGGAGAUGGAAUUAGUGGUGUAGGGGUAAAAUCCGUAGAUAUCACUGGGAAUACCUAAAGCGAAGGCGAUCUCCCGGAACAUUACUGACGCUAAGGCGUGAAAGCGUGGGGAGCAAACAGGAUUAGAUACCCGCGUAGUC